Molecule: long non-coding RNA, 2259 nt
Filed under: Homo sapiens (human)
Lineage: Eukaryota; Metazoa; Chordata; Mammalia; Primates; Hominidae
Description: HSALNT0234842
Source: RNAcentral
ACUUGACCUUUAAACCAGUCCCAUUUGGGUUGGCGUACAAUUUCUAUUAGGUUUAGUGAAAUUAUGAAAAUAGCUCCUGGGUUACCACCAUAACCUAUUUAGAAAGAUGGAGGAGCAGCCUGCCGGCCCUCUCUUCUCCCUGCUUCUUUCCCUUCCUCCUUUCUCCCUCUGUCCCUCCUUCCCUCUCUCUCUCCCUCCCCCACUCCUCCCUUCCUCCCUUCCUCCUUUCCUUCCUUGCUUCCUUCCAUCCUCCCUUCCCUUUCCCUCCCUCUUUCUCUCAAGCACCAUCCCUUUAAGCACACAUUUAAUUGGACAUUCAUUCCAUUAAUCAUUUUUGGCUCCACCCAUUUGUUCAACAAAUCUUUGCUGGGUGGAUGCUCCCUGCCCGGCCCGUGGUAAGGUCCUGCUCUUAGAGGAUGCUGCCAGGUCCUGGGAAUGUGGGACUUCCUGGGUUCCCUCAAGAAGCCAAGGUCUGACACAGGAAGCACAGGGCUCAGGAGGACACAGGGAGGGGGCAGCAAUGCCGGCUGUGUCCCCUCUGGGAUGCUCGUGUGUGAAAGGUAAAAAUAGAGUCUACACAGGCGACGGGAUGCUCCUGGGAACUUGCAGCCAGCCCAGCCCUCCCUCCAGGAUUCAGGCAGCAACAGCUUCCCCAGAGUCGGUUCGGGCUCAGCCACCAGCCCAGCAUUUUCCUGGUGCCAAGGUCAGCUCCUCGGCAGGCCCUGAACUUGUGGUUUGGAGAAAUAAAUGACAUGCUGAUUACUUAAUCCUAAAACAACAGGAAUUUUCUCUUUUUUAAGGGGCAAUGACAGGAAGCUGGCAACGUUGCAGAACCAGCCACAAGCAUCUCGGGCUAUGUUCCGGGGGACAGAGCGGGGUGGGGACUGUGCUGCAGAACUGAACCAGGGUUUAGGGCUGGCCUCUCCCUGCACCUUAUGGCAUCUGUGUCUGGAGGCUCUUCUCCAUGCCGAGAAUGCAGCUCUGCGCCGUCCACUCGGCUUGUCCCUCCUCCCAGCUCUCCUGGCCUCCUUGUGUCCUGGCGGCACUGGAGCCCUGGGGAUGGGCUGCAACUUCGGAAGGAAAUUCCCUUGGUGGGCUGCUUCCCUGGUCUCCAGACCUCAGCAAGCCAGGUCAUUUGGACUUGACUUCAGGCUCCAAAAAAGUUAAUGGUUCACGAAGGGAAAGCACCAAAUAGCCGUGGCCGCGAGCCACCGAGUGUACCCGGAGGCGCAGAGACCAUUGCCACUAAACUUUGGUUCUGUCAAUCAUUUGGGCCUUCUCUCAUUGGAUAAUGAUACCCCACACACCCACAAACCCUGGGCCAAAUCCUGUGUGUGCCCCUGGGGACAGAGGGCUGAGCAGCAAGUGUGGCCCUCGUGGAGCUCAGGGUUACAUGGAAGAUGCAGGCUUAGGAAGUAACCAGGCAGCCCCAGGAGGAACGGCAGCUUCGAAUAAACGAAAGCCAGGACUGAGAGGACAUGUGACAGCAGGCCUCUCAAGCACUUCAGCCGCCCCCAGAGGGUGGGACGGGGACCCCCAAAAUGUUCCCCGUCUUAACCCGCAGAACCUGUAAACGGAAACUCGCUUAAGACUAGGGUCUUCGCAGAUGUGAUUCAACUAAGGAUCUCAAGAUGAGACCAUCCCGAUUUAGGGUGGGCCCUAAAUCCAAUGGCUAGUGUCCUUAUAAGAGAUAGGGGAGGGACACUUAAGCCCCAGAAACCCAGAGAAGAAGGCCAUGCAGAGUGGAGGCAGAGGCUGGGGUGAGGCGUCUGCAAGCCAGGAAACACCUGGAGCCACCAGUGACCGAGAGACAAAGAGGGACUCUGCCCUCAAGCCCUCAGGGGGAGCAUGGCCCUGCCCACACCUUGACCUUGGAUUCCUGUCAUCCAGAAGUGUGAGAAAGUAAAUUUUUAUUGUUUAAGCCCCCAGUUUGUGGUCAUUUGUCCCAGCAGCCCCAGGAGACCCAUACAACGACCUAAAGAAGAAAAUCCGUCUCCCAUGCCAGCCCGUGUGAGCAUGUCGUCUCUGCGAGUUUGUGCGAGUGUUGCAUUGUUGCUGGUGCUGGUCCUCACCUCCCCUUGGUCUGCGAGGAAGACACCUGCAGACACUACUUCUGAGGGUGCCUCAGAGGUGAAGUCUGGAGAAUGAGCCUCAGCCAGUUCAACCCUGUCCCCUGCCCCUCCUGGCACCUUCCCACCUGCGUGUCCUUCGGGCUUCCUAGGGCUGCCCAUCUCCCUCCCAGAACUGGCUGUAGAAUUG